This 518-nucleotide ribosomal RNA is filed under the name Stagonosporopsis valerianellae. Its description in RNAcentral is "eukaryotic LSU rRNA". The stretch from base 158 to 311 matches the Rfam family "5.8S ribosomal RNA". The record is from RNAcentral. Lineage: Eukaryota; Fungi; Ascomycota; Dothideomycetes; Pleosporales; Didymellaceae.
UGCGGAAGGAUCAUUACCUAGAGUUGCGGGCUUUGCCUGCCAUCUCUUACCCAUGUCUUUUGAGUACCUUCGUUUCCUCGGUGGGUUCGCCCGCCGGUUGGACAACACUUAAACCCUUUGUAAUUGAAAUCAGCGUCUGAAAAAACUUAAUAGUUACAACUUUCAACAACGGAUCUCUUGGUUCUGGCAUCGAUGAAGAACGCAGCGAAAUGCGAUAAGUAGUGUGAAUUGCAGAAUUCAGUGAAUCAUCGAAUCUUUGAACGCACAUUGCGCCCCUUGGUAUUCCAUGGGGCAUGCCUGUUCGAGCGUCAUUUGUACCUUCAAGCUCUGCUUGGUGUUGGGUGUUUGUCUCGCCUCUGCGCGCAGACUCGCCUCAAAACGAUUGGCAGCCGGCGUAUUGAUUUCGGAGCGCAGUACAUCUCGCGCUUUGCAACCAGACGACGACGUCCAAAAAGUACAUUUUUACACUCUUGACCUCGGAUCAGGUAGGGAUACCCGCUGAACUUAAGCAUAUCAUA